CGAGCAGCCGGAAAUGGACUGUGGUCAAUCCAGCGGUAACGAAUUCGCUCGGACAUCCAACCGGAUUCGCGAUCCUGCCCGGCGAAAAUUCCGCUCCGCUGAUUCUUCCCGAGUCAUGGGUUCGAAAGCGCGCCGGUUUUCUCGAUGCGCACAUUUGGGCGACACCCUACCGCGAAUCCGAACUCUACGCGGCGGGCGACUACCCGUAUCAGAGCAAGGCCGCCGACGGCCUCGCUAAAUGGACCGCCGCCGACCGGCCGAUCGACAACCGUGACUUGGUCCUGUGGUACACCAUGGGGAUCACGCAUAACCCGCGUCCCGAAGACUGGCCGGUGAUGCCGGUGCAUGAAGCGGGAUUCAAGCUUGUGCCCUGGGGAUUCUUUUCGCGCAACCCCGCGCUGGACUUGCCGCCGCGGUGAUAGGUCCCCCCCUUGCUAUAAUCAAGGCAGAUGGUUUUUCGCCGCCCGCAACAGCGGGUCCUAGCUUCGAAUUAUUCCCACUUGAGCGCCAAUUCCUGUCCCGUUCGUCCCCUGCAUGGAGGUACCCAGCACCUAAUCAAUGAAAGCUAGCGUGCGCAUUCAGCGAGGCGUCGAGAACCUCUUUGGCACCCGGGAUGAAAAUAUCCGGCUCAUCGAAUCCGGCUUGGGCGUCCACACUCAACUGGUCGAUAAUAAUCUCGAAAUUGAAGGCGAAGCCGACAACGUCAACCGCGCGGAGCGAAUCCUGGAAGACUACAACACGCUCGUGCGGGAGGGCCACGUCUUCAACAAUGGCGACUUGAACAGUUACCUGCGGGUGGUGACGCUCGAUCC
RNAcentral lists this unclassified non-coding RNA (812 nucleotides) under uncultured fungus. RNAcentral's name for it is "sequence contains 18S rRNA gene, ITS1, 5.8S rRNA gene, ITS2, 28S rRNA gene". Lineage: Eukaryota; Fungi. The record is from RNAcentral.